Molecule: long non-coding RNA, 534 nt
Filed under: Fragaria vesca (wild strawberry)
Lineage: Eukaryota; Viridiplantae; Streptophyta; Magnoliopsida; Rosales; Rosaceae
Description: long non-coding RNA (FVES_LNC001211)
Source: RNAcentral
UCCAAAUUCUCCGAGGCAAAGUUCGAUGGUGGAGUCCAGGGAGGGAAGGUGUUUUUGUAGCAGAGGGGGUUCUGAUGAUUCGGAGAGAAGAGGGGUUGAAUCGCCCAUUUGGUUUCGGAACCAAAGAACUUGAGCCGAUAAAUUAAGGUUUAUAACUUUAUAUGGAAUGAGUGAUAUAUUAUCUGAUGAAGGUUUAUAUAUAUAGGAGGAUAUGACCAGCAUGCCAUGGUCAGAACUCUUAUCUCUGUGUUUAGUUAAGAUCUAUCGUCCGUGGGCCUUUUCUACUAUAUAUAUGUGAAUAGCAUACAUCAAGCUGUGAGCCGUUUAAUCAUCUUAAAUUUUAAAUUGUUAAACGAUCGGACAGCUCACGGUUUGAUGUAUGUUAUACAACUGUGUAAUGUGUAUAGCAGCCGAACCCAUCGUCCAUGUACUGUAUAUGGUUUUGUUUACAUUUUUUUUUUUUUUGCAGGUGGGAGAAAACAAUAGUACUUUGUUUUAGGAGAAAAAUAAAAUUACAAGAAGCUCUAAGCAGCC